This is a long non-coding RNA of Thalassophryne amazonica, 272 nucleotides long. RefSeq lists it as uncharacterized. The record is from RefSeq and is a predicted model, not a curated record. Lineage: Eukaryota; Metazoa; Chordata; Actinopteri; Batrachoidiformes; Batrachoididae. The transcript is spliced from 2 exons.
UGUGCCCGUGUGUGCGCGCGCGCGUGUGUGUGUGUUUUAGAGUGUAUAAUAAAUGUCAUUUCUGCUUGUCUCUGCCCCUCAGUGUGUGUGCAGUGGUGGCUUUGGGCACCGGGCGUGGAUGGCCUUGGCACUCGAGCGGCCAGAUUUUAGUGGGAGUUGCGGUCUGACAUGGAUCUUUGGAGGGUUUAGGACGGAUUUAUGAGUGUGGAGGGCGAAACCUUCUCAGGAGGGAAAUGUGCGAAUCUCUGAGAAGCUUUUGGAGAUUUACCCAU